Triticum aestivum (bread wheat) is the source of this 1944-nucleotide long non-coding RNA. RefSeq lists it as uncharacterized. The transcript has 6 exons. The record is from RefSeq and is a predicted model, not a curated record. Lineage: Eukaryota; Viridiplantae; Streptophyta; Magnoliopsida; Poales; Poaceae.
UCCUUCUUACCACCUUCUCCCCGUGCCCGCUGCCGCCCGACCUCCUCCCCACCGCGCCGCCGGUCGGCCUCCUCCCAGCGCGCCUACGAUUGGCCUCUUCCCAGCGGGCCUCCGGUCAGCCUCCGCCCCCCCCCCCCCCCCCCCCCCCCCCCCCCCCCCCCCCCCCCCCCCGCGCGCCGCCGGCCGGCCUCCUCCUAGCGCACCUCCGGUCGGCCUCCUCCCCACCGCGCUGCCCGACCCUCUCCCCAUCGCUGGCAGCGUCUCCAUUCUGCUCCGGCCCCACCAGUUUCAGGCUGUUCAACGCCACCACCCGAAGCGGUUCACCGUAGCCGAACCCUGGAUCCCGCUGCCACCAUGUCUCUCUCCUGCUGCAGGACGGCUCAGCUACCUCACUUGGUGAGGGCAGAGCCUUUCAUUUAUGGAAUGCAAGUGUUCAUGAGGUAGGAGCGGAGAAGGAAGAUGGGAUCUGUUGGCUACGGUGGAGGUACCAGACUUUUAUAUGAUGAUGCUUACUGACAGAAGUAAAGAAGAUGGUGAACUGUGGGAGUACUUCCCUUGAUCUUUCAGCUACAUCAAGGUCGAAAAAGCCCUUCAUCUGAAUCCAUCUGCGGGAGGAACACUGCUUUGACAUCAGGAACGCUUUCCUCCACUAGAGCCACUGCGGCCCACGGCAGCCCAUGGUGGUGGAGUUCGUCGCGUCCAUCAAUCCAACCCCAUGGCUUUAGGGCGUCCGAGUUUUGUCGCGGCCAUCAGUUCAGAUACCUGCGUCAUUGUGUAUGUUGCAACCACGGCCAUUUGUGUCACUGCGUGCUCCGUCACUGGCCUCCUACGCAUCGUGACCCCUGCCGCACUCCUUCCUCUCCCUGAAGCUGCUCGUACCCUCCCAGGCUUGAUAUCCUACUGCAGCGAUGAGCUCCUGUACAUCACCGAAGUUCCAUACCCGCUCAAUGGCACCAACACGAGGAUGCAGCAGCUAGGCUGAACCCCAGUUUGUGCCUCAAGGUCAAGUACGCGGACGCCUGUAGAGGAGUGCAGGUUGUCCUGUGUGCCAAGUAUUGCCGGCAGCGAUGCCUGCUUACGUCUUCCUCGUGUGAUUCGCCAAGAUCGUGUCCUGCUCCUGAGAUAAGAAGAGCGACAACGAGAUGGAGAGCACGGUCUUUUUUUCAUGGAGCUGGCACUGUUGUAGUACGGCCUAGUCUAGUCUAAGCCCUCCAUGGUUGCUGCUGCUGUUUUGGCAACCAGGCUCACCCCCGAAGAAGACCCCUAUGUGGACUAACAAUCUAAAUUAUAGAUUUUUCAGAUCGGGGAAGGUGUGAAGCUUACCUGAUUGCUUGCUAAUUUGCAUGUUCUAUUUACCCGCUAUGCAUGUGUUGAUGUUGCUGCUUCUAGGAGCCCUAAAUUCAGGGUCAAUACCACGCUGACAAGCCAGGCAAUCGGCCUUUGCAUCACGAACUGUUGCAGUUUGAUCUUGCGCAAGCGGGAAAUUCCCUGAUGUCGAGUGUAUCAGUACCAACCUACGCUCCAAGCACGCCUCCUCCUGGUCGCCCAUCAGUUCUCUCGUUCCUUCCUGCUUCUCCUAACAUCACCAUAAAAGUAGCUAGAAAAAAUAUGUGGAUAAAAAGAGGAUUGCAGUGACAGUAAUUUUGUUGCCAUUUAUCUCUAUAGCAGAUUGCAUCCGCACAAAAAAUGCUACUGCAGUUUACUCUAUGUAAAAAUGAAUAAGGUUCAAUUCACAAAAACAUGUGGAAGUUCGUUUGGGAAAUUCCGCAGUCUAUUUGAUUACGCCAAGAUGUACAGGAUGACUAUUCUUUAUUGUGUGCCUUCGGCACAAUUUAUAUUUACUAGUGACCAUAUGUCUAAUGGUUUUUUUGCUUACGGAAAAACUAAUAUAUGAGGAUAUUUCAGGUUUCUUUGUGAAUUUGUAGUGUUACUGCACAUGAACUU